AAUCCGUGAACCAGGGUGGCCUGCCACGCUGCCUAGCUGGGAACUCUUGUACUCCCAUCUUGAUGAAUCAAUGGAACUCGUUACUUUAAUCACAAUGAGAGGUGAUAGCCCUGUGAACAAGGGAUAUCCAGGCUGACAAAUGGAACCUGCAGCCAAAACAGGUGAAACCCAGGCCCGUCCCAACCACUGUGCCUCAGGUGAGCAAAGGAGACAUGUUGCUUCAGCACACAAGUCACAGAGUAUGCCGGCCCUGUACACCACUUUCCUAGAGUCACUGAGGAUCCAAAGUCAACUCAGCUCCUGUGCUCAAACCACUCACCCCAGUCGGCCGCAAUACUCACUAUCUGGAAAGCUCAGAUCAUGCCCAGAGCUGGCGAUGAUGGAGUGAAGUGAAGGAGAGCUAUGUCCAAGAACCUCCCAGCUGGAGGGGAGGCAAGGUGGGCAUGGGGAGGGCUGCUGCCGCAUCUGGAGGGAGAGCCCCGGAAGAAAGGCAGCACUGUCGCUGUGGACUCACUCCAUGGCUGGUUUUCACGGAAAUUCUUGUGUACCCUUGAUGCAGCCCGAGAGCAGCUCUGGGAGAUCGUUUUCAGGUGCUUGAUUCUAGGGCCUCAGACAGUUGGUCCAGGCUAUUUUCUUUUAAACCAAUGAAUAAAUAGAUCUAAGCCAC
This 667-nucleotide long non-coding RNA is filed under the name Homo sapiens (human). RNAcentral describes it as "HSALNT0281739". The record is from RNAcentral. Lineage: Eukaryota; Metazoa; Chordata; Mammalia; Primates; Hominidae.